AUUGAACGCUGGCGGCAGGCCUAACACAUGCAAGUCGAACGAGUGGCGGACGGGUGAGUAAUGUCUGGGAAACUGCCUGAUGGAGGGGGAUAAGUACUGGAAACGGUAGCUAAUACCGCAUACCAUCAUAUGUGCCCAGAUGGGAUUAGCGAGUGGGUGGGGUAACGGCUCACCAAGGCGACGAUCCCUAGCUGGUCUGAGAGGAUGACCGGCCACACUGGAACGGAGACACGGUCCAGACUCCUACGGGAGGCAGCAGUGGGGAAUAUUGGGCAAUGGGCGAAAGCCUGAUGGAGCCAUGCCGCGUGUAUGAAGAAGGCUUUCGGGUUGUAAAGUACUUUCAGCGGGGAGGCGUUACCCGAAGAAGAAGCCCCGGCUAACUCCGUGCCAGCCGCCGCGGUAAUAC
RNAcentral lists this ribosomal RNA (406 nucleotides) under uncultured bacterium. RNAcentral's name for it is "partial 16S ribosomal RNA". It matches the Rfam family "Bacterial small subunit ribosomal RNA", at positions 30 to 526 of the family's 1533-position model. The record is from RNAcentral.